Ornithodoros turicata is the source of this 578-nucleotide long non-coding RNA. RefSeq lists it as uncharacterized. Lineage: Eukaryota; Metazoa; Arthropoda; Arachnida; Ixodida; Argasidae. The record is from RefSeq and is a predicted model, not a curated record. The transcript is spliced from 6 exons.
UCGCGAGCGGUAGAUGGGUGGUAGCAGUUCCCGUCUUUCAACUCUUCAAGUCGGGCAAAAAACGUGAAUGUCUUUGAAUCUCUACAGUCAAGUGCUGCAUUUUGCAUAGUUUCUUUGUCUCUACAAAUUCUGCACCAGCUAAAUCACGAAAAACUACGAGCGACGCAUGUGACUGCAAUUACGAUGCUGGCAGUUCGUCAUAAAAAUGGAGGACGCUUGCAAGAUACUAUGAAUCGUGCGGAAUAAGGGCCAGCGCGACUGAAGUGAGAAACGCUGCAAAUACAUGAAUACUGGGGGCCUGGCAAAAAUCAGCAAAGCUGCUACACAGUUCCCACAGAAUUCCCAGUUCACUCACAAUUGGCUUUGGGAUGGACAGGAUUGCUGACAGUUGAUGCCAAAAAAUCGGUUCAGUGCAGUCUACAGAAUGCAAAAAAGAACGCCGCCGAAGCCCAUGGGGCACCAAGAACUGAUGUGGGAAGAAAAAAACACCACGACAGCGAAGACUUCUCCGAGUCAGACGUUUCGGACUCUGAAUGUAUUGUGUCAGCUGCUGAAGUAAAGAAGGCUAAUGAACAGGC